This 492-nucleotide ribosomal RNA is filed under the name uncultured bacterium. RNAcentral describes it as "partial 16S ribosomal RNA". It matches the Rfam family "Bacterial small subunit ribosomal RNA", at positions 29 to 507 of the family's 1533-position model. The record is from RNAcentral.
AGUGAACGCUGGCGGUAGGCCUAACACAUGCAAGUCGAACGGCAGCACAGUAAGAGCUUGCUCUUACGGGUGGCGAGUGGCGGACGGGUGAGGAAUACAUCGGAAUCUACUUUUUCGUGGGGGAUAACGUAGGGAAACUUACGCUAAUACCGCAUACGACCUACGGGUGAAAGCAGGGGAUCUUCUGACCUUGCGCGAUUGAAUGAGCCGAUGUCGGAUUAGCUAGUUGGCGGGGUAAAGGCCCACCAAGGCGACGAUCCGUAGCUGGUCUGAGAGGAUGAUCAGCGACACUGGAACUGAGACACGGUCCAGACUCCUACGGGAGGCAGCAGUGGGGAAUAUUGGACAAAGGGCGCAAGCAUGAUCCAGCCAUACCGCGUGGGUGAAGAAGGACUUCGGGUUGUAAAGCCCUUUUGUUGGGAAAGAAAAGCAGCAGGUUAAUACCCAGCUGUUCUGACGGUACCCAAAGAAUAAGCACCGGCUAACUUCGUG